AGUGAACGCUGGCGGUAGGCCUAACACAUGCAAGUCGAACGGCAGCACAGUAAGAGCUUGCUCUUACGGGUGGCGAGUGGCGGACGGGUGAGGAAUACAUCGGAAUCUACUUUUUCGUGGGGGAUAACGUAGGGAAACUUACGCUAAUACCGCAUACGACCUACGGGUGAAAGCAGGGGAUCUUCGGACCUUGCGCGAUUGAAUGAGCCGAUGUGGGAUUAGUGAGUUGGCGGGGUAAAGGCCCACCAAGGCGACGAUCCGUAUCUGGUGUGAGAGGAUGAUCAGCCACACUGGAACUGAGACACGGUCCAGACUCCUACGGGAGGCAGCAGUGGGGAAUAUUGGACAAUGGGCGCAAGCCUGAUCCAGCCAUACCGCGUGGGUGAAGAAGGCCUUCGGGUUGUAAAGCCCUUUUGUUGGGAAAGAAAAGCAGCAGGUUAAUACCCCGCUGUUCUGACGGUACCCAAAGAAUAAGCACCGGCUAACUUCGUG
This 492-nucleotide ribosomal RNA is filed under the name uncultured bacterium. RNAcentral's name for it is "partial 16S ribosomal RNA". It matches the Rfam family "Bacterial small subunit ribosomal RNA", at positions 29 to 507 of the family's 1533-position model. The record is from RNAcentral.